GAUGAAGAACGUAGCGAAAUGCGAUACUUGGUGUGAAUUGCAGAAUCCCGUGAACCAUCGAAUCUUUGAACGCACAUUGCGCCCGCCAGUAUUCUGGCGGGCAUGCCUGUUCGAGCGUCAUUUCAACCCUCAGGCCCCCAGUGCCUGGUGUUGGGGAUCGGCCCAGCCUUCCUGUAAGGCCGCCGGCCCCGAAAUCUAGUGGCGGUCUCGCUGUAGUCCUCCUCUGCGUAGUAGCACAACCUCGCAGUUGGAACGCGGCGGUGGCCAUGCCGUUAAACACCCCACUUCUGAAAGUUGACCUCGGAUCAGGUAGGAAUACCCGCUGAACUUAAGCAUAUCAAUAAGCGGAGGA
RNAcentral lists this unclassified non-coding RNA (352 nucleotides) under soil metagenome. RNAcentral's name for it is "partial contains 5.8S ribosomal RNA, internal transcribed spacer 2, and large subunit ribosomal RNA". The stretch from base 1 to 120 matches the Rfam family "5.8S ribosomal RNA", at positions 35 to 154 of the family's 154-position model. The record is from RNAcentral.